This 488-nucleotide ribosomal RNA is filed under the name uncultured bacterium. RNAcentral's name for it is "bacterial SSU rRNA". It matches the Rfam family "Bacterial small subunit ribosomal RNA", at positions 29 to 512 of the family's 1533-position model. The record is from RNAcentral.
AACGAACGCUGGCGGUAUGCUUAACACAUGCAAGUCGAACGAGAAAGCCCUUCGGGGUGAGUAGAGUGGCGCACGGGUGAGUAACGCAUGGGAACGUACCCUUUUGUCAGGAAUAACCACUGGAAACGGUGGCUAAUACCAGAUGGUCUCGCAAGAGUAAAGAAGGCCUCUACUUGUAAGCUUUCGCAAAAGGAUCGGCCCAUGUCCCAUUAGCUUGUUGGUGAGGUAACGGCUCACCAAGGCUACGAUGGGUAGCUGGUCUGAGAGGAUGAUCAGCCACACUGGAACUGAGACACGGUCCAGACUCCUACGGGAGGCAGCAGUGGGAAUAUUGCACAAUGGGCGCAAGCCUGAUGCAGCAAUACCGCGUGAGUGAAGAAGGCUCUUGGGUCGUAAAGCUCUUUCGAUUGGGAAGCAGGGUUCUAUUGCUAAUAUCAGUAGGACUUGACGGUACCUAAAGAAGAAGCACCGGCUAAUUUCGUGCCAGC